Molecule: ribosomal RNA, 498 nt
Filed under: uncultured Glomeromycotina
Lineage: Eukaryota; Fungi; Glomeromycota
Description: partial small subunit ribosomal RNA
Rfam family: Eukaryotic small subunit ribosomal RNA
Source: RNAcentral
CCAAUAGCGUAUAUUAAAGUUGUUGCAGUUAAAAAGCUCGUAGUUGAAUUUCGGGAUCAGUAGGUCGGUCAUGCCUCUGGUAUGUACUGGUUUCACUGGUUCCUCCUUCCUGAUGAACUGUAAUGCCAUUACUUUGGUGUUGCGGGGAAACUGGACUGUUACUUUGAAAAAAUUAGAGUGUUUAAAGCAGGCUAACGCUUGAAUACAUUAGCAUGGAAUAAUGAAGUAGGACGUUCGAUCCUAUUUUGUUGGUUUCUAGGAUUGACGUAAUGAUUAAUAGGGAUAGUUGGGGGCAUUAGUAUUCAAUUGUCAGAGGUGAAAUUCUUGGAUUUAUUGAAGACUAACUACUGCGAAAGCAUUUGCCAAGGAUGUUUUCAUUAAUCAAGAACGAAAGUUAGGGGAUCGAAGACGAUCAGAUACCGUCGUAGUCUUAACCAUAAACUAUGCCGACUAGGGAUCGGAUGAUGUUAUUUUUAAUGACUCAUUCGGCGCCUUACG